Molecule: long non-coding RNA, 3386 nt
Organism: Vicugna pacos (alpaca)
Lineage: Eukaryota; Metazoa; Chordata; Mammalia; Artiodactyla; Camelidae
Source: RefSeq, a predicted model, not a curated record
AUAUCCACACCAUGUCUGCUUUAUCCAAUCAUCUGUUGAUGGACAGUUAGUGGAUCCAGCCAUUCUUGACCUUGUCCUCAGUCAGCUGGAAGGGGCCGGGGAUGACCUUACGAGAAAGGAGAGAGCGUGGGAGCUCAGACUCACAGCCUGUGUGAUGCAAACAAUGCUGAGUUCUGUCCACCAGUUAGUGCGUGCGGGCAGUAUUCCAAGUUCUCCACUUACGUCAACUUCCUGAAUCUUUACAACAAACUUGUGAGCCUGUGAAAUCAUUGUCUCUACUUCAUAGAUGGAGAAACUGAGCCACAGAGUUUCAGCUGCCAAUGGGUACGCACAUCACAAACGGCCAAACCAGGAUGCACACUUGGGCAGUCUGGCCCCACGUGCUGGACCAUUGCACUUGGGUGAUUCUUCCUGCCCUUGGAGUUGGUUCAUUAGGGUGAUGAGGUAUCUGUGCACCUGCUAGGGUGCGGGCCACUGUUUUGGGCAGAGUGAACACAGCAGCGUCAAAACAGACCCAAGAUCUGCCUUCAUGGUAUAGACAAUGAACAACAAAGGAGAUGCUACGAUUUUCAGCUAGUGGUAAAACCAUGGAGCCCUGAGGAAAGUUCAAUGAGGAAUCUGAUCAUAACAAAGUCAGCAACCCAUGACCCCAAAUCAAACCACCUGCUUGUGCUGCCGGCGAUUAGGUUCUUGCUUCAAGGGAGGAAUUCAGAGAUAAGACCCGGAGGUUAAGAAAAUAAAGUGAAGAUUUAUUAAGGGAUGGAUAGGACCAUUUCAUGGGGAGAGUGGGCAGACUCAGAACCUUCUGGAGAAGGAAUUUCCUCCCUCGUUUGGGAAAAGAAGCUGUCAGCAUCGGCGUCCUGCAGGCGUGGUCAGCAGGUCCCGCUGGUGCACAGCCGAGGCAGCAUCUCCCUUGUGAACAGGACCCCAAAACAUCUCCGUGCCACACGCAGGGUAGAAAAACAAAGGACAGCGUACAGCACCCAUUCGCUUCUAAGAGUCUGGCAGAGAACUGGACGUCACAUAAACCAUCAGCCAUGGGAAAGCACAAGAUCUCUCCCAGUCCCAGACGCCCUCCCUCAGAACAACAGGAAAAGAUAGUCAAAAUGCUCUGGAUUCAGAAAAAAGGAGAAAUAAUUGUAUGUUUCAUGAUGUUGUUGGAAAUCUUCUAAAUACUAGUUUAAAUAUUAAUGGUCCUGAUUUUUACAAUCCCACCAGUGAUUUCUGAAGCAACAUUAAUACCUCUAAUUCAAAACUAAGUUUAAUUCUGGCAAAUAGGUGUGUGUGUGUGCACAGGUAGACAGAGGGAUAGAGAAAUAGAUUUAGGUGUCAUCUUGCAAAAUCAAUGCAAUUGAAGUUGGGAUAUUUAUAAACCGUGAAAGGUGGGGAAAGUCUAACGAGUAUUUGAAAACUAGCCAACUGCCUGGUUAGUUAAAAAUAAUCCCUUUGCCUCUCCUGUAGCCUCAAUUGAAUAGGUUCAUUUAUAGAAUAAAAAGCGGAUUGAACGAGUUCAAAGCCGCAAGCGGCCAUUCUUUCCAGCCCGAAGACUUUCUCCAGUAGAUAAUUCAGGUCAAAGUGGCAGCAGGGGGAUGUCUCUGGAAAGAUAAAAUUAGAUUUUCUUGUCACUGCUCCUCAAAAUGGGGGGGGGUAUACGGUAUUUCGUUUUUUCCAUCACAGAGUCCAGGAGUAGACAGCGGCAUUAGUGGUCCUGAAAAAUGCCACAAGCAAUUUUAUUAUUUUCUUAAAUGCUUCUGAAACAACAGGUGAGGAUGUUGAAGGGCAGGUGUCCUGCAAGGCGGGCGAUGCUACGAGACUGCUGGUGUUGCCUUUAGCAAUCUGUUGCCGUGGCGGGUUCCGCCUUCCCUCUGACCUGGGCGGAAGUGGGAGGCGAAUCGACCCGCGCGGUGGUUUCAGCCCCAGAGCGUGUGGCCCGGUGGCAGAGUCAUGCAGACGGACACGCCUCUGGUGACGACGGGAAAGAGGCAGGGGGAGCCUGUCUGACUCCCACGGAAGCACGAUGUCCCGGAUGCUAACACAGCCUGUGCGGCCGGAGGGGUAGCUCCUCCCUUGGCAUAAGCCCCGUGGCCAGCGGUCCACGAGGGAACGGGAAACGGAACCUGCAGCCCCGUGGCCGCUCCCUGCCCCGCGAGGGCCUGCUCCUCCCUCCCUCCGACUCCAGGCUUAGAGCGAAUCCCCAGUUGGCACCAUCUCCAAGGAUACCGACCUCUGUCCAAAGCAUAUUCAAAAGGGGCUUCACACUUGGUUUUCCUUUGUUUUAUUCUUACGAAACACAACACAAAGGACAGCUCUGUCCAAUUCUGGUAGCGUUUACUUCCGGUUCCACAUCAGGAACCCUUUCAAUUUGGAAUGACUGCUUAAUCUUAAAUCCCUCGAAUGUGUUUUGAUCCAAAAUUCAAUCACACUGAGAAUGCUCCCUGUGCCAUGUGGCCUUGUGUGUCAAUCCCUCCUCGUGGAUGAAGUGUGGAUCAGCGCCCUGUCACACAUCGCACCAAGGACGCGGGUAGUCUGGGAGGAGGCACCGUUGAGGCCAUUUCUCUCUCAGAUACAAAAAUGGAUUUUACAAGAAAAGCAGAGGUGCUCUGAGAGCUCGCAGCUCAUCACUGCAUCUCGUAUCAGCUGAGAACAGGUGCUCUGUGCUGUCUCUUCCCUGGAAGACGGAAACACAUAUUUAGCUUUUAAGAGUAAAUACAAAUUACUUGGCUUUGUAGUACACGAACCUAAAACAAGACGUGUGAAGGGAAGAGGUGCGGUUGGGAUUUGUUGGGGGCAAUCAGAUCCUAGACACAGAGGGAAAUUUAAGAUUGAGACCAUGAAUUUCACCCAGGAAGUACAUUUUGCGCUGCGUUCUUUACCCCAGAAACAAGGCACCUGGGGACAGAGUGGCCUGUUAGAUUCUUUCAACUACUGUCAUUGUCAAGGGGAGCGGACCACCUCCUGUAAACCUCUAGCCAUCACUUCGAAUGUCCACGUUCUGCCCAGUGUCCUCUUCCCGGGGCUCGCCCAGCGGGUGCUGUCCGUGGCACUUUGCUUAAAGUCCCAAAUUCCACAGACAUCGUGGUGUAGAGGAGGUAGAAGUCUGUAUGUUUGAAUAUAAAGUUCAAGCUUACCUUAAGUGUUGCUUGAAAUCCUUUACUGGCCAACAAGGCCCUUAAGGAAAGUUACUGCAGUUGAACUAGGAAUUUCCUCUUCUCAGACACAAGCAUCCCCAGAAGAAAUAAAAUACUUUUCUUCCGUUAUCAGUAAUAUGCAAUGUGAGUGUAAGUUUAAUCCAGAGAUUAAAAAAAACCUGGAAUCUUGAAAUAGACCCUGCUGACAGGAUGUGGUGGCAUUUUGGUGGUGGUUGCUGUUUUAGAUGGGUGGAAUUA